This 184-nucleotide ribosomal RNA is filed under the name uncultured bacterium. RNAcentral's name for it is "partial 16S ribosomal RNA". It matches the Rfam family "Bacterial small subunit ribosomal RNA", at positions 1303 to 1500 of the family's 1533-position model. The record is from RNAcentral.
GGCUGCAACUCGCCUACAUGAAGCUGGAAUUGCUAGUAAUCACAGGUCAGCAUACUGUGGUGAAUACGUUCCCGGGCCUUGUACACACCGCCCGUCACACCAUGAGAGUUGAGAAUACCCGAAGUCCAUGUCAAAGUGGCCGAAGGUAGGCUUGAUGAUUGGGGUGAAGUCGUAACAAGGUACC